UACAGAGGUCCCAAGCGUUGUUCGGAAUUACUGGGCGUAAAGGGCGCGUAGGCGGCCUUCUAAGUCAGACGUGAAAUCCCCGGGCUCAACCCGGGAACUGCGUCCGAUACUGACAGGCUCGAAUCCGGGAGAGGGAUGUGGAAUUCCAGGUGUAGCGGUGAAAUGCGUAGAUAUCUGGAGGAACACCGGUGGCGAAGGCGGCAUCCUGGACCGGUAUUGACGCUGAGGCGCGAAAGCCAGGGGAGCAAACGGG
Molecule: ribosomal RNA, 253 nt
Filed under: uncultured bacterium
Lineage: Bacteria
Description: partial 16S ribosomal RNA
Rfam family: Bacterial small subunit ribosomal RNA
Source: RNAcentral